RNAcentral lists this ribosomal RNA (663 nucleotides) under Pristimantis malkini. RNAcentral describes it as "partial 12S ribosomal RNA". It matches the Rfam family "Bacterial small subunit ribosomal RNA", at positions 284 to 1405 of the family's 1533-position model. The record is from RNAcentral. Lineage: Eukaryota; Metazoa; Chordata; Amphibia; Anura; Strabomantidae.
UAUCAGGCACGCCCAACACAUCUAGCCAUGCCACACCCAGGGUAUACAGCAGUGAUUAACAUUAAAUAAACGCCAGUUUGAUUUAGCCAAUGAAUACUAGAGCCGGCUAAUCUGGUGCCAGCCGCCGCGGUUACACCAGUGGCUCAAAUUGAUUCGGCGUAAAGCGUGAUAAAGGUCAAACUUAAACUAAGCUGUAAAAGCUUGUUCUUAAGAAGCUCUACCCGAAAGACACCCCAACCCCCUCACAAAUUCACGACAGCUAGAACACAAACUGGGAUUAGAUACCCCACUAUGCCUAGCCGUAAACCUUAAUUUACCGCCAGGGAACUACGAGCAAAGCUUAAAACCCAAAGGACUUGACGGUACCCCACAUCCCCCUAGAGGAGCCUGUUCUAUAAUCGAUACCCCACGCUUAACCCAACCAUUUUUAGUUCAGCCUGUAUACUUCCGUCGCCAGCUCACCGCAUGAGCGAAAGUGGGCUUAACAGUCACCGCCAAUACGUCAGGUCAAAGUGCAGCAAAUAAAAUGGCAAGAAAUGGGCUACACUCUCUAUAGAAGAAACGAAAGAUUACAUGAAAUAAUCAGAAGGUGGAUUUAGAAGUAAGAAUUAAAAUAUCUUUCUUAACGGCACUGGAGUGUGUACACACCGCCCGUCACCCUCU